This is a long non-coding RNA of Penaeus indicus, 835 nucleotides long. RefSeq lists it as uncharacterized. The transcript is spliced from 10 exons. The record is from RefSeq and is a predicted model, not a curated record. Lineage: Eukaryota; Metazoa; Arthropoda; Malacostraca; Decapoda; Penaeidae.
GUUCUCUCUCUCAAGAACGCGUCGUGAGGAGCAGUGACUCUCUCUUUCUGAUCGUGGUAGUGUACAGGUGAGCCCAAGCAUAGAUAGGCGUCGUCUGGUACGAGUCCCACACUAGACAACAUGCCGUUCGUACCCCAAAACUCCCAACCAAGUUCUGGGUUCUGCAGUGCCGCAGGCCAGCAAUGCCCCAGCUGGAACUAUGGGUGUGCCGAGCAUAGAAGAUUGCGAAGGCACAUCCAGUCGCAGUGGAAGAAGAGGAACAGUGAAAGUAUGGAGCAAUGAAGCCUUGUAUUUCACUUUCAUGUGACUUGAAAAGUGGAUUUGAUCUUUACCUAGAUGGCUCUUGAUACUUGGACUGAAGAAAGUGGAGUGUAAUCCUGGUUUCGGAAAGCAGCAGACUUCACUAAGGGAUGAAGGGCAUCUUGGAAUUUGCAAGAUGGUGCAGAAUUCAUGGAAGUAUAAAUGGACUGGCCCCCCAUCAGUUGCAAAUUGUCAGGGUGAGCUGUGUGAAGUGAGGACCCUUGUCUACAAAGUUUUUCAAGGGAGGUUUAAACUCUGAAGUCUGAGAUUAACUACAGAAAACCACUAUACUGAAGUUGGCCCUUUGUAAUCCUCACGUACAGAUGGAGACGAUCAACCUUGAAGUGGGGAUAUAGUACAGCAAUGCUCCAUAGAUCUGCACUGUUUUUAGUUACAGUUGCUGGUCGUCUUGAUUAUGGAAAUAUUCCAGUAAUUUCACUAGAUGUUGCAGCAAUAGUGGCAACCUGUUCUGUACUUCAUCUACUGUGGGGGGGAGGGAUUGAACUUGUUUCCAAAAAUAUACGAUUUGAAACAG